GAUGAACGCUGGCGGCGUGCCUAAUACAUGCAAGUCGAGCGAACAGACGAGGAGCUUGCUCCUCUGACGUUAGCGGCGGACGGGUGAGUAACACGUGGAUAACCUACCUAUAAGACUGGGAUAACUUCGGGAAACCGGAGCUAAUACCGGAUAACAUGUUGAACCGCAUGGUUCAACAGUGAAAGACGGCUUUGCUGUCACUUAUAGAUGGAUCCGCGUCGCAUUAGCUAGUUGGUAAGGUAACGGCUUACCAAGGCAACGAUGCGUAGCCGACCUGAGAGGGUGAUCGGCCACACUGGAACUGAGACACGGUCCAGACUCCUACGGGAGGCAGCAGUAGGGAAUCUUCCGCAAUGGGCGAAAGCCUGACGGAGCAACGCCGCGUGAGUGAAGAAGGUCUUCGGAUCGUAAAACUCUGUUAUUAGGGAAGAACAAAUGUGUAAGUAACUAUGCACGUCUUGACGGUACCUAAUCAGAAAGCCACGGCUAACUACGUG
Molecule: ribosomal RNA, 497 nt
Filed under: uncultured bacterium
Lineage: Bacteria
Description: partial 16S ribosomal RNA
Rfam family: Bacterial small subunit ribosomal RNA
Source: RNAcentral